AGAGUUUGAUCCUGGCUCAGGAUGAACGCUAGCUACAGGCUUAACACAUGCAAGUCGAGGGGAAACGACAUCGAAAGCUUGCUUUUGAUGGGCGUCGACCGGCGCACGGGUGAGUAACGCGUAUCCAACCUGCCCAUCACUUGGGGAUAACCUUGCGAAAGUAAGACUAAUACCCAAUGACGUCUCUAGAAGACAUCUGAAAGAGAUUAAAGAUUUAUCGGUGAUGGAUGGGGAUGCGUCUGAUUAGCUUGUUGGCGGGUAACGCUACCAAGGCGACGAUCAGUAGGGGUUCUGAGAGGAAGGUCCCCCANAUUGGAACUGGAGACACGGUCCAAACUCCGUACGGGAGGCA
RNAcentral lists this ribosomal RNA (352 nucleotides) under uncultured bacterium. RNAcentral's name for it is "bacterial SSU rRNA". It matches the Rfam family "Bacterial small subunit ribosomal RNA", at positions 8 to 350 of the family's 1533-position model. The record is from RNAcentral.